UACUGAAGGUGCAAGCGUUAAUCGGAAUCACUGGGCGUAAAGCGCUCGUAGGCGGCCUUGUAAGUCAGGUGUGAAAGCCCACGGCUCAACCGUGGAAUUGCACUUGAUACUGCUUGGCUAGAGUUCGGGAGAGGUUAGUGGAAUUUCAGGUGUAGGAGUGAAAUCCGUAGAGAUCUGAAGGAACACCAGUAGCGAAGGCGACUACCUGGAACGAUACUGACGCUGAGGAGCGAAAGCGUGGGGAGCAAACAGG
RNAcentral lists this ribosomal RNA (253 nucleotides) under uncultured bacterium. RNAcentral's name for it is "partial 16S ribosomal RNA". It matches the Rfam family "Bacterial small subunit ribosomal RNA", at positions 524 to 776 of the family's 1533-position model. The record is from RNAcentral.